RNAcentral lists this long non-coding RNA (1309 nucleotides) under Bemisia tabaci. RNAcentral's name for it is "lncRNA ENSASIAIIG007578". The record is from RNAcentral. Lineage: Eukaryota; Metazoa; Arthropoda; Insecta; Hemiptera; Aleyrodidae.
UUUUGGAGGUGAAAAUAAAUUGUCCAUCAAAAGAUACCUUGAGGCUGAGCCUGUUCACCCUAUUCUAAAGCUUGAGCGUUUUGUUGAAUCUCAAGAUUAUGUGGAAGCACAAGUUGUAUUUUGUGCAUAAUGGUGCUUAGAUAAUUUGUGAUUGUUACGUGUAUUUGUUCCUAAACUUUGGAUCCAUGUUCUGGCUAUAGUUUCUUCCAAUAAUGGUAAGUAGCUACUUUUUCUUAGCUUCAGCAUUCGUGUGACAUUGACUUGUUAGAUUGUGUAAUGCCUCUGUGGGUUAUCAGCUCAGAAUAGUGCCUUUAUUUGUACACUCAUAACUUAAAUAUCCUUGGUUACCCAUAUGAUCUGAUAUGGUAUAUUUCAUGGAAUUGACGUGAACAAUGAUUUUUCUCAGUCUUAUAAGGGAUUGUUUUGAGCUAACAGUAAUUGUUUCAUCAUUACUCUGUAUCUUUCAAAAAUAUGAAUGAACAUUCCGCCUUUAUUUACAUUGCUACUCGAGAGUGAAUUGCUAAUAAAUAAUAAAUUAUUAAUUCAAUUUUUUAAUUUUUGUUCACAAUCUGUUCUGACAGGACAGGAAAAAGUAGCAUACACCAAUUUUUUUCAAGUUUCAUUCUAUUCACUUCAACCAUAGUAGGUGCUGCUUGUAAACUUUAAAAUUUCCACCACACUUUUACUUACAGUUGUGAUUAGGAGAUUCAUUACUGCUAUCAAUCAUAAUUGUCCUUUACAUUAGAAGAUUUAGAAGUGCCAGGCUGUGAGUGUCUGCCAAUUUUUGAAAAUUGAAUUUCAUUUUUGGAAAUGUAUCAUGGAGUGGCCUUAUAUUUCAGGUACCCAACCGAAGAACCCUCAGAGGGGCUGCUUGGUGUUCAGUUUCUGGAUGCACCAACAAUUCAAAGAACUCAGAAGAAACAAAUUUCUUCUACUUUCCCGCCGAUGAAAACAGGCUCGGUUAAACCUGGUACCUACCAGCUACUCACUGAUACCAGAAAGCAGUAGCAGUGAUGCCUCCAUGAAAAUUCACGAUUUGCACAUUCACUAUGAAUUGACACUUGGCUCCUAAAACUCAAAGGUGAGUUUCGAACACUGCUCAUGCCUUAAUCAUCAGAGAAAUUAUUACAAAUAUGAUAUUAAUACUUCAACUUAGUCAUUAUCUUAAUUUAACAAUACGAAUUUCUAUUAAGGGAACGAGGGGGAUUUGGCAUUAUCUGACAUGUCUUUUUUUUUAUCAGUUUGGACCUAGUCUUCGACAAUCAUAUGAUUUUGACGAGAAUGAUGUAGAAAACUUUGAUUAACAUGA